GCCCGGCUAGCUCAAUCGGUAGAGCGUGAGACUCUUAAUGAGCCUCCCGGUUCUGAUAUAAUCUCAAGGUUGUGGGUUCGACCCCCACGUCGGGCU
This is a non-coding RNA of Cytospora paraplurivora, 96 nucleotides long. Lineage: Eukaryota; Fungi; Ascomycota; Sordariomycetes; Diaporthales; Cytosporaceae. The record is from the annotation of a GenBank genome assembly.